UUACUCUGGCUUCCCUUCAGAACGCAUAAAUCUUUCGCCUUUUACUAAAGAUUUCCGUGGAGGGGAGCAACUCAAUGAGUCUUUAAAAAUUUGUUUGAGGCUUGCAUCAGCAAGCCA
Molecule: small nuclear RNA, 117 nt
Organism: Hyalella azteca
Lineage: Eukaryota; Metazoa; Arthropoda; Malacostraca; Amphipoda; Hyalellidae
Product: U5 spliceosomal RNA
Exons: 1
Source: RefSeq, a predicted model, not a curated record